RNAcentral lists this long non-coding RNA (579 nucleotides) under Manihot esculenta (cassava). RNAcentral describes it as "long non-coding RNA (MESC_LNC011858)". Lineage: Eukaryota; Viridiplantae; Streptophyta; Magnoliopsida; Malpighiales; Euphorbiaceae. The record is from RNAcentral.
UUGGGCUGGGUUGGGUUCGGUUUGUCGGUUUGAUCUGUUAUUUAACAUGUUUAAACCGAACCGAACCAAAAACCGAAUAAUUUUAAAUCUACUAACCGAACCAAACCGAUUUUUCCAACUAACCAAACCGAUAAACCGAAUUUAAUCAGUUCGGUUCGGUUUUUCGGUUUAGACCGAGAAUUGCUCAGCCCUAGGCAUAACAUUUAUAGAAACUCCUAAAUCACACAUUGCCUUCUUGAUUUCAAGGUUUCCAACUUUACAUAAUAUUGCAAAUAUACCUUUGUCUUUACAUUUUUGUGCAAUUUUUCUUUGGAGUACAGCUGACACAUUUUUGUGCAACAUACCUUUUCGUGCCCAUACAAUUUUCUUUUAUUAGUGCAAAGGUCUUUUAGAAAUUUCACAUGUAUUUGCUUUAUAGUUUCAAGAAGGGGUAUGUUUACCUGGACUUUACGAAAAAUCUCCAAGAUCUCUCUCUUCCUUUUCUCUUUUUGAUUGAGCAAAUCUUUCGGGAAAAGGUGGACGUAUUACCUGCAUUGGGGAUUGUUUUUCCUCAGAUUUUUGAGGCUGAUUCUCUUAUAG